AAUGAAGUGCCUGAAAAAAAGGAAUAUUUUGAUAGAAUAUAUCAUGUAAUUAUUUACCUUCAUUA
Molecule: transfer RNA, 65 nt
Filed under: Dermestes maculatus (common hide beetle)
Lineage: Eukaryota; Metazoa; Arthropoda; Insecta; Coleoptera; Dermestidae
Also listed under: 1 other name
Description: tRNA-Ile
Source: RNAcentral